UAAAAGCAGUUAUUAAGUUUUUUUCUUUAAAGCUUUUGAACUUAAUAACACUUUAAGUUAACCUUGUAAACAUCAUUAAGUUUACCUUUAAAAGAUCAAAGAACAAUUAUUAAAACCUUUUUGAUCAGAUAACUAAUAAACUAACUAACUAAAUCAUCGAUGCAUAAUUAACUGCAUCAAUGAUUUUUUUUCAUUAUUUUUACCGCAAAAAAUGCAGAUUUAUCUGUUAAACUAAUGAUUUAAAAAGGCUUUUUUUUAUUAUCAAUCAUUGGUUAUUUUUUACUUGUGAUUUUAGCUUUAAUGCUUAUAAAAAAAUCCAAUGAUAAAAGUUUUUUAGAAAAGUGUUGUACAAACUGAUUUGUUGUGCUAUAAUCUAUAAGGCUUAUAUA
Molecule: unclassified non-coding RNA, 389 nt
Filed under: Mycoplasmoides gallisepticum
Lineage: Bacteria; Bacillati; Mycoplasmatota; Mycoplasmoidales; Mycoplasmoidaceae
Description: Mycoplasma gallisepticum 16S-23S ribosomal RNA intergenic spacer
Source: RNAcentral